Molecule: long non-coding RNA, 236 nt
Filed under: Elaeis guineensis (African oil palm)
Lineage: Eukaryota; Viridiplantae; Streptophyta; Magnoliopsida; Arecales; Arecaceae
Description: long non-coding RNA (EGUI_LNC029900)
Source: RNAcentral
GAUGAUUUCUGCUGAAUAUAGAGAGGGUGUAGAAUACUUCUACGAUUUUGCUUUUGGGAAUGUAGUACUCUUACAUCAAGGAUGGGCUCAUUGCCCUUGUAACAGAUAUGGCAAUAGAGAAAUAUUUGAUAGAGAUACAAUUACUGUCUAUUUGUAUACGAGUAGAUUUAUAUUAAACUAUAAGCAUUGAUACUUGCAUGAAGAGACAUGAGAGAAAGUUGCAAGGAUUAGAAGUG